AUGAACGCUAGCGGCAGGCUUAAUACAUGCAAGUGAGGGGCAGCAUGAUAUACGCGAGUAUAUUGAUGGCGACCGGCGGACGGGUGAGUAAUAGGUAGGAGACCUACCUCAUACAGGGGGAUAGCAUAGAGAAAUCUGUGGUAAUACCCCAUGAGGUUAUAUGAAUAGAGGCAUAUAAUCAAAGCAUAAGCGAUUAUGCGGUAUGAGAGGGGCCUACUGACCAUUAGCUAGUUGGUGAGGUAAGGGCUCACCAAGGCGAAGAUGGUUAGGGGUUUUGAGAGAGAGACCCCCCACAUUGGAACUGAGAGACGGCCCAGACUCCUACGGGAGGCAGCAGUAGGGAAUAUUGGGCAAUGGGCGAAAGCCUGACCCAGCCAUGCCGCGUGAAGGAAGACGGCCUUAUGGGUUGUAAACUUCUUUACUACGCGAAUAGAGGUUAGUACGAGAUACUAAUAGGAAGGUAGUGUAGUAAAAAGCACCGGCUAACUCCGUG
Molecule: ribosomal RNA, 493 nt
Filed under: uncultured bacterium
Lineage: Bacteria
Description: bacterial SSU rRNA
Rfam family: Bacterial small subunit ribosomal RNA
Source: RNAcentral